Molecule: long non-coding RNA, 1299 nt
Organism: Numida meleagris (helmeted guineafowl)
Lineage: Eukaryota; Metazoa; Chordata; Aves; Galliformes; Numididae
Exons: 3
Source: RefSeq, a predicted model, not a curated record
CCCGGAGCGCCCGGCUGGGCAGGGGUGGGUACGGCAGGCUCUGCCAUAUUAAUGGAUGAGUGGGCGCUGCCCCGCGGCGGCUGGCUGGCAGCCGCGCUGCCGUUCCUGCCCGUGAGGCGUUUAGCCCGCGCGCUGCCACCUGCAGUUCCCUGUAGCGCUGUGGGCUCACUUGGCAGAAACAGGGCGGUCCCUGCCUCGGCUCCCCCAGGAUGAGCGAGGCCAGGCGGUGCACUAGCCGUGGAAUCUGAACCACAGAACAUCUGGAGUUGGAAGGCACCCACAAGGAUCACUGAGUCCAACUUCUGACUUCACACAGCAGCACCCUAAACUCAAGCCCUAUGUCUGCGAGCGUUGUUCACACAUUCCUUGAGCUCCGGCAGCUUGGGGCCGUGACCACUGGCCUGGGCAGCCUGUUCACCCUCUAAUGAAGAACCUUUUCCUAACACUCAACCCGGCCCUCCCGAUGCACCUCCAUGCCGUUCCCUGGAGUCCUGUCACUAUCACCAGAUAGCAGAGGUCAGCACCUGCCUCUAGUUGGCAGUCAGCUCCACUGCAGUCUCUCACUUCUUGGCACUUGGCUUCUUGGGUCCUUUGGCAUCCACUCUACACCCAGCUCCAGGCAACAAGAUGUGAAAAACAAGCCUGAGAAAGGGUGAGAUUAGCAUUGCUCUGCUCACCCAAGCACCAGAGGGUAGAGGGGGAAGCAGUGGUCUAACUUUUCCCUACUGGUGUUCUUGUCCUGAAACUGCCAGCAAGCAUCAGGCAGUCUUCAGGCACCAGAAUAAUGCUGACGGGGAGUUCAGCAUCAGUAACCCACUCACCCAUCACCCUGCAGAGCCCAUCAAGAAACCAGAAGAUACUCUGAUCUCCAGCUCCCUGGAACCUCUCCCAUGGCCUACAGCCACUGUCUGUCUGCAUACUCACCUACGCAGCUCCCAUCGACUUCCUCAAACCCCACAGCACAAAGGCAUCGGCCCAUUGGUACCAGCCACUCCCCAUCAGUGCUGCAGUGCAUCCUCGGGGGAGAUCCCGUUUCUUCAGCUGCAUAUUCCACGCAGACACCAGAUGCUGGUUCUCCUGGCUUCCCCUAGCCAGCAAGACACGCUCAGUUUAAGCUGAAAGAGAUGACACAAUCUUUCACCCAAGCACUACCGACCUUGAUGAACAUUGGGCGGCGGAACUGGAUCCCGACAUCCUGCUCAGACUCCAUGUAGUAGAGGUUGAAGGUCUCUUUGCAGGUCACCGCUUCACCUUUGAAGCUCUUGCAGUCUCUCACAGUGAACUUCAGCUCCACAUAAA